CUAGAAACCAACCCUGCAGGCACCUCCAUGUUGGACUUCUAGUUUCCAAAGCUGUGAGAAAGUGCAUAUCUGUUGUUUAAAUCAUCCAGCCUAAGUCCAGAGAGCCAAAUGAGUGUGGUGACGUUAUUUCCGGCCUCGUCAGCAUGUGUGUGAUCAACACGAUCACACAGAAGACCGCCGCAUCCAAGAAAGGAGCAAGGAACACAAAGACAUACUUCAGACUGAUUGAACAGAAGGCAAAAUUUUCAACGGACAUGAUAAUGCAACACUUCCAACAUGGAUACAUUUGUUAUAGGCCGAAAAGCUGCAUCAUAUAAUGAGUGAGUCCGUGAAACCAAGUCAAAAUGAUUUUCUGUAAAUUAACCAAACUGUUCUUGAAAAAGCUGGAUAGAUAUUUGAUCUUGUGGGUAUUUCCUAUUAUUCCUUGUGAUUAAGAUGAAACAUAUCACAUUUGCACAAGUAAAGAAACGUGUAUUU
This is a long non-coding RNA of Equus caballus (horse), 477 nucleotides long. RefSeq lists it as uncharacterized. Lineage: Eukaryota; Metazoa; Chordata; Mammalia; Perissodactyla; Equidae. The record is from RefSeq and is a predicted model, not a curated record.